UAAGAGUAAUAGGAGCAGACCCUUUGUAUGAUAACAAAAUUCAAAUAUGUAUUCUACCAAAAAUUCAGUAGCAAUAUCUUGAGUGCUUAAAAGGAAAAUUUAUUAUCAUACUAAGAAGAAUUAACAAAGAAAUGAAUAAAGCAAAAUAAUUUCAGCUUGAUAACUAGUUUUAAAAAUUUGCAAGAGACAAUUAGUUUCUGGGUGGUGAAGUAAUAUCCUGAAGGAAGUUGAUGGAUACAAAUGAACCUCAACAAAACAGUAUGGAAACUGCAACUGGUAAUAAUACUGGGGUGACUGGGGUGAAAUCUUAGUUAUCUUUAGAUCUAAUCAUCAGUAUGUCAAGAUCCAGUAGGAUCAAGAAUGAAUCAAGGGUAAAUCCUGUUGGACUUUUAACUCUUGGCUUUUGUAUGCUGCUGGGCAAAUCUAAAAAACCAGAAAACUAGAGUUUUUCUACUUCUAUGAAAAAUGCAGGUACUUACUGCUGCAAGGUUUAGGGAAAUGACACAGUUAUCUCUGCUUGUGCUGAAAUCUUUCCUCUAGUAAAAUUCCAAUAAUCUGCUUGCUCUUGGCUUGUCUGAACAGGACUGACUUUUUUUUUUUUUUUUUUUCUUUUUUCUUUCUAAUACUGAAGAAGCAGAAUGUAUAAAAUACUCUACUGUGUGAAAACAAAUCGAACACAACUGACAGUUUUCUCUUUCUAAAAUACGUGUUGAGUAAAGCCACUGUCUUUUCUCUUGCACUGAUUCUUUGGGCCCACAAAUGCUGAAAUUAAAGGAAGACACAUUUGAAACUGGACUGUUAUCAUCCAGUCCUGACAGAUGUCUUGUCCACGCACCGAUAGGAAGAAGGAACGGUAUUAUCAUCCCCUAGUGAAGAUAAUGAGCUUCAAGGACUGUGGGAACCUGCAAUUGCAGCAGAACUGAGAUAUCUUGCUAAAACAUUAAAAGGACAACAGGAGAUCGCACUUGAGGGGAGAGGAAGUGCAGAACUACGUAUGUGACUACUUGAAUGACAAAGCUUUAUGUCAAGACUCAUUAAAUGCCCUGCUUUGUGCUUCUUUUCCUUUGCUAGGACUGGUGCGUCAUUUGAAUGUUUUAUCUUGCCUGUGAACAAUUAUAUUUAUGAAUUCUGAAAGCAGAUCCAAGGUGGAGGAGCCACUGUACAGAGAAGUCACAGUUUUUUCUCCUGCAGCCGCAUGACAUUGCAAUACAGCUGAGGAACACAACAGCCAUUGCUCGUAUCAGCUGGGGGGACUAGGGUGAGUGAAUAUGAAUUUAUUCUCUGCUGUCAGAUGAAGCUGGGAAGCAGGAGCACCUUAGUAAGAAGCUUGGAUGAUGCAAGGAGAAAAUAGUCCAGCUCUUUUCUGUACUGAUCCCUUGUUGGUAUGCCCCUGUACAUGAGAAGAAUGGAUCAGAAUGUUACAAUUGGUUUUUAAGGUCCCAUUUUCUGGAAAACAUAAAGGAACUUUGACUAUGGCAUCAGUCUUAGUGACUUGAAUCAGAGCAGAACCUUGAACUGGGAGGGAGGAUUGAACAGGAAGAGUAAUGUCUGGAGGGAAAUAUUACUCCUGAAAAUUGUGAACAGUUCUUAAAGUACUAAAUAGACACAUCUGGGAUCUUAGUGAUGGUACAAAACAAUCCAAUUAAGAGGUACAAAAUAUUUUUGAAACAAUGAAUGACUACUGUGUUCUUGAGUUUAACAAUUGUUGAAUACUUGAAUUUUAAAUGAGAUUAAACUAGAAUUUUGUACAUGAUCUGUAAUAACAGGUAUUCCUCUUAACAAAUAUUUUGAAACAGGCAGUCAACUACAAUCAAAUACUUAUUAUUAGAAAGGAUGGGAGAACUAGACGGUUCCUGUUUACAAUAGUUCUUUCUUGUUAACGAAGGUGACCAGAAGCUGGACUUCAUGGAUUUUAGAUCCAGUUUAGUGUGGCAAACUGUAGAAGUCUUUAAAAUAACAACAGAAAGCCCCAAAUACUUCCCUCCUCCCAGAAUACAGAGUAUUAUGCUCCAUAGAUUUUGCUUCAGAUGCACCCAGCUUUUCUCAUUUUAUUCAGUAAGCCAUUAGAAAUGCACUUUCCAGUUUCUAGAGGUGAAGUGUUUUAUUAGUGUUUUUAUUAGGAUGAGAUACUACGUGCCUAAACAAAAUAAGUAAUAUAGUUUUCUCACAGAGAUGAGGAAACAAUUUUCUUUUUAAUUAUAGAAAUAACUGGACCAUAGUAAAUAUAAAUUUUGUACUCAAACAAGAAAAUUAUAAGUACUGUUAAUAUCUUGCUUUACUCUUAAUGUGUGAUACAAGUAUCCAAUUAAGGAAUUCUCCUACCCAUUUAUAUUAACUAUCGUUUGUCAAUAAAUAAAACUAUUUAUUUAUCUUUUACGAUUUUGUUAAUGAAUAUAUUUUUUAAAAUUGUAUUAGUGAAAUGGACAAUUGAAUGUUGGAUAUUUACUAUUAUAGCUGUGUCCAGAUACUGUAUCUACAGCAGUUAAGUACUUGUUGUGACUGGAAUGUAAUCUUGGUGGUUUGGGUUCUGUUGCCUCUAUGGAGCUUUCACUCCUUAAUGGCUUCAGAGACUAAUCUUGAGUUAAGAGCCAAACAUUUUUUCCUCCACAUUACUGCAGUUGUGUUUAGAUUCGUGGCUUUUAAUGUCAAAAGGAAAUUAUAGCUCAUGCAUGCCCUUCCAGGCAGAAUAGCUCAUGCAGGGGACAUUAGAAUGACUUAGAGGAAGUCUGCAAUGAAUUCUGGAAUCAACUCAUCAUAAUUACAAAGAAAAGCAAAUCUUCUACCCCACGUAAUAAUCUUAUAUUUAAGAAAUUGAUAAUUAACUGUGAAAUCUGGGAGCCUGUGUUUUUGCUGGUCAGUGAAAAUGAUGGUGGGAAAAAAUAUCCUCAUGACAUAUUUUUCCUGUCAGUAUGUAAGGAACUUCUAUUUUUUCCCCAGUUAUCUGUGCUGGCAUGUGAACAAGGUUACUUGUGCUUACGUAUCGUAUUUAAUGCUCACCCUUCUGACUUUGCCACCCAGUGAGGAAGUCAAAACAAUACCCCCUCUUACAUGACCCUACAGACAGUACAAGUAUUCUAAGGAAAAGCCAAGUGUAUAUCUCUCAAAAUUACG
Oxyura jamaicensis (ruddy duck) is the source of this 3111-nucleotide long non-coding RNA. RefSeq lists it as uncharacterized. The record is from RefSeq and is a predicted model, not a curated record. The transcript has 3 exons. Lineage: Eukaryota; Metazoa; Chordata; Aves; Anseriformes; Anatidae.